GACGAACGCUGGCGGCGUGCUUAACACAUGCAAGUCGAACGGAAAGGCCCUGCUUGCAGGGUACUCGAGUGGCGAACGGGUGAGUAACACGUGGGUGAUCUGCCCUGCACUUCGGGAUAAGCCUGGGAAACUGGGGCUAAUACCGGAUAGGAGCCAUUUUUAGGGUUAUGGUUGGAAAGUUUUUUCGGUGUAGGAUGAGCUCGCGGCCUAUCAGCUUGUUGGUUGGGUAAUGGCCUACCAAGGCGGGGGCGGGUAGCCGGCCUGGGAGGGUGGACGGCCACCUUGGGACUUAAGGAAGGCCCAGACACCGAAGGGAGGGAGGAGGGGGGAAUAUUGCCCCAUGGGCGCAAGCCUGGUGCAGCGACGCCGCGUGGGGGAAGACGGUCUUCGGGUUGUAAACUCCUUUCGCUAGGGACGGAGCUUUUUGUGACGGUACCUAGAUAAGAAGCACCGGCUAACUACGUG
Molecule: ribosomal RNA, 465 nt
Filed under: uncultured bacterium
Lineage: Bacteria
Description: partial 16S ribosomal RNA
Rfam family: Bacterial small subunit ribosomal RNA
Source: RNAcentral